UACGUAGGGGGCAAGCGUUGUCCGGAAUCAUUGGGCGUAAAGAGCGUGUAGGCGGCCCUGUAAGUCCGCUGUGAAAGUCCAGGGCUCAACCCUGGGAUGCCGGUGGAUACUGUCGGGCUCGAGUCCGGAAGAGGAGUGUGGAAUUCCUGGUGUAGCGGUGAAAUGCGCAGAUAUCAGGAGGAACACCAAUGGCGAAGGCAGCACUCUGGGACGUGACUGACGCUGAGACGCGAAAGCGUGGGGAGCGAACAGG
This 253-nucleotide ribosomal RNA is filed under the name uncultured bacterium. RNAcentral describes it as "partial 16S ribosomal RNA". It matches the Rfam family "Bacterial small subunit ribosomal RNA", at positions 524 to 776 of the family's 1533-position model. The record is from RNAcentral.